GUGAGGAAUUUUCCGCAAUGGGCGAAAGCCUGACGGAGCAAUGCCGCGUGAAGGAUGAAGGCCUAUGGGUUGUAAACUUCUUUUCUCAGAAAAGAAUUAUGACGGUAUCUGAGGAAUAAGCAUCGGCUAACUCUGUGCCAGCAGCCGCGGUAAGACAGAGGAUGCAAGCGUUAUCCGGAAUGAUUGGGCGUAAAGCGUCUGUAGGUUGUUUAAAAAGUAUUCUGUCAAAGAUUAGGGCUUAACCCUAGAUAGGCAGAAUAAACUUUUAAGCUAGAGUUUGGUAGAGGCAGAGGGAAUUCCCGGUGGAGCGGUGAAAUGCGUAGAUAACGGGAGGAACACCAAAGGCGAAGGCACUCUGCUGGGCCAAUACUAACACUGAGAGACGAAAGCGAGGGGAGCAAAUGGGAUUAGAAACCCUGGUAGUCC
Molecule: ribosomal RNA, 426 nt
Filed under: uncultured bacterium
Lineage: Bacteria
Description: partial 16S ribosomal RNA
Rfam family: Bacterial small subunit ribosomal RNA
Source: RNAcentral